RNAcentral lists this transfer RNA (65 nucleotides) under Anoplotrupes stercorosus. RNAcentral describes it as "tRNA-Asp". The record is from RNAcentral. Lineage: Eukaryota; Metazoa; Arthropoda; Insecta; Coleoptera; Geotrupidae.
AAAAAUUUAGUUAAUUAAUAACAUUAAUUUGUCAAAUUAAAAUAAUCAUCUUUUGAUAAUUUUUA